Molecule: non-coding RNA, 336 nt
Organism: Neoarius graeffei (lesser salmon catfish)
Lineage: Eukaryota; Metazoa; Chordata; Actinopteri; Siluriformes; Ariidae
Source: the annotation of a RefSeq genome assembly
AUGUUCACUCUUAUAUUCAUGUGUCUGUGGCUUUCACUCGGUGACUCCAUGGCAGAGUCAAUAAAGCCACUUUUCACUCAGACAAUUAUAGAUGAAGGCAGUGAUGUUACUCUGUCCUGCAGCUAUGAAUCAAAGAGUUCAUCACCCGACCUGCACUGGUACAGACAAUAUCCAAAAUCUAAACCUGACUUCCUUCUUUUUAUAUCACAAAGUGGAUAUAAAAGUGACUCAAUCCCACCACGUCUUUCUGCUGAAGUUGAUGAAAAGAAUAAACAAGUGGAUCUGCUCAUCUCCUCUGCUGCCGUAUCAGACUCUGCACUAUACUACUGUGCUCUG